This 249-nucleotide unclassified non-coding RNA is filed under the name uncultured fungus. RNAcentral describes it as "sequence contains ITS1, 5.8S rRNA gene". The stretch from base 201 to 249 matches the Rfam family "5.8S ribosomal RNA", at positions 1 to 49 of the family's 154-position model. The record is from RNAcentral. Lineage: Eukaryota; Fungi.
UCUCCGUUGGUGAACCAGCGGAGGGAUCAUUACAGAGUCUAGUACUCCCAACCCUUUGUGUAUAUACAUGUUGCUUGGGCGGCAGCCAGUGGGGAGACAGGUGGGCCUCGGCCUGCAUGUCCUGUCCCAGUGGCCCGUCAGGGGACCAAAUUAGUUAGUCAGGGCAUAGUCUGAGCAUGUGGGAGAUGAAUACAAGUCAAAACUUUCAACAACGGAUCUCUUGGUUCUGGCAUCGAUGAAGAACGCAGC